AGAGUUUGAUCAUGGCUCAGAACGUACGCUGGCGGCACGCCUAACACAUGCAAGUCGAACGAAGUAGCAAUACUUAGUGGCAGACGGGUGAGUAACAUGUAGGUAUCUGCCCUUUGGCCUGGAAUAACACGAGGAAACUUGUGCUAAUACCGGAUAAGUCUUUACGGAGAAAGCUUUAUGCACCAUUGGAUGAGCCUGCACUUGAUUAGUUUGUUGGUGGGGUAAUGGCCUACCAAGACUGUGAUCAAUAGCUGAUUUGAGAGGAUGAUCAGCCACAUUGGGACUGAGACACGGCCCAAACUCCUACGGGAGGCAGCAGUGGGGAAUCUUGCACAAUGGAGGAAACUCUUAUGCAGCGAUGCCGCGUGAGUGAAGAAGGCCCUUGGGUUGUAAAGCUCUUUCGUCGGGGAAGAAAAUGACUGUACCCGAAUAAGAAGGUCCGGCUAACUUCGUGCCAGCAGCCGCGGUAAUACGAAGGGACCUAGCGUAGUUCGGAAUUACUGGGCUUAAAGAGUUCGUAGGUGGUUGAAAAAGUUGGUGGUGAAAUCCCAGAGCUUAACUCUGGAACUGCCAUCAAAACUUUUCAGCUAGAGUAUGAUAGAGGAAAGCAGAAUUUCUAGUGUAGAGGUGAAAUUCGUAGAUAUUAGAAAGAAUACCAAUUGCGAAGGCAGCUUUCUGGAUCAUUACUGACACUGAGGAACGAAAGCAUGGGUAGCGAAGAGGAUUAGAUACCCUCGUAGUCCAUGCCGUAAACGAUGUGUGUUAGACGUUGGAAAUUUAUUUUCAGUGUCGCAGCGAAAGCGAUAAACACACCGCCUGGGGAGUACGACCGCAAGGUUAAAACUCAAAUGAAUUGACGGGGACCCGCACAAGUAGUGGAGCAUGUGGUUUAAUUCGAAGAUACGCGCAGAACCUUACCAACACUUGACAUGUUCGUCGCGACUUUAAGAGAUUAAAGUUUUCGGUUCGGCCGGACGAAACACAGGUGCUGCAUGGCUGUCGUCAGCUCGUGUCGUGAGAUGUUGGGUUAAGUCCCGCAACGAGCGCAACCCUCACUUUUAGUUGCCAUCAUUAAGUUGGGCACUCUGAAAGAACUGCCAGUGAUAAGCUGGAGGAAGGUGGGGAUGACGUCAAGUCCUCAUGGCCCUUACGUGUUGGGCUACACACGUGCUACAAUGGUAUCUACAACAGGAAGCAAGACUGCGAAGUUUAGCAAAUCCUUAAAAGAUACCUCAGUUCGGAUUGCACUCUGCAACUCGAGUGCAUGAAGCUGGAAUUACUAGUAAUCGUGGAUCAGCGUGCCACGGUGAAUGCGUUCCCGGGUCUUGUA
Molecule: ribosomal RNA, 1330 nt
Filed under: uncultured bacterium
Lineage: Bacteria
Description: 16S ribosomal RNA
Rfam family: Bacterial small subunit ribosomal RNA
Source: RNAcentral